RNAcentral lists this ribosomal RNA (710 nucleotides) under Epicephala sp. ex Phyllanthus bourgeoisii. Its description in RNAcentral is "SSU rRNA". It matches the Rfam family "Eukaryotic small subunit ribosomal RNA", at positions 486 to 1152 of the family's 1831-position model. Lineage: Eukaryota; Metazoa; Arthropoda; Insecta; Lepidoptera; Gracillariidae. RNAcentral also lists the same sequence under 4 other names. The record is from RNAcentral.
CGGGACUCUCACGAGGCCUCGUAAUCGGAAUGAGUACACUUUAAAUAUUUUAACGAGGAACAAUUGGAGGGCAAGUCUGGUGCCAGCAGCCGCGGUAAUUCCAGCUCCAAUAGCGUAUACUAAAUUUGUUGCGGUUAAAAAGCUCGUAGUUGCAUUUGUGCGCCGCGCUGUCGGUGCACCGCAUCCGCGGUGAUACUGACACGUUUGCGGAGCAUAUCGUCGGUGAGCCGCCGGUCAAACGGCGGUUCAAUAUCAAAAUCCUAUCGCGGUGCUCUUCAGUGAGUGUCGAGGUGGGCCGACAAUUUUACUUUGAACAAAUUAGAGUGCUCAAAGCGGGCUCAAAACGCCGCUUGAAUAUUUCGUGCAUGGAAUAAUAGAAUAUGAUCUCGGUUCUAUUUUGUUGGUUUUCAGAGCUCCGAGGUAAUGAUUAAUAGGGAUAACUGGGGGCAUUCGUAUUGCGACGUUAGAGGUGAAAUUCUUGGAUCGUCGCAAGACGAACAUCAGCGAAAGCAUUUGCCAAAGGUGUUUUCAUCAAUCAAGAACGAAAGUUAGAGGUUCGAAGGCGAUUAGAUACCGCCCUAGUUCUAACCGUAAAUAUGUCAUCUAGCGAUCCGCCGACGUUAAUAAAAUGGCUCGGCGGGCAGCUUCCGGGAAACCAAAGAUUUUGGACUCCGGGGGGAGUAUGGUUGCAAAGCUGAAACUUAAAGGAA